Mytilus californianus (California mussel) is the source of this 1483-nucleotide long non-coding RNA. RefSeq lists it as uncharacterized. NCBI's taxonomy places the organism in Eukaryota, Metazoa, Mollusca, Bivalvia, Mytilida, Mytilidae. The transcript has 3 exons. The record is from RefSeq and is a predicted model, not a curated record.
AACACUUAGACUAUCAUGACUAUAGUCAUAAAGUAGGACAAUAAAUGAACAAUAGACAAACCUGGGUACAGAUAAGACACAUAACUACAAACAAUAGACCAUCAACACUGAAAACUAAAAGUAAAUUAGAAACAUGGACGACGAAAAAUAUGAAGUGGCGACAGCAUAGAGUGAAGAGAGCUUGCUUCUUGCUAGACACUCGCCGUGAAAACAAUUUGAUAUGAUGACAAGCUUUUGUUUCAACUUUUUUUUUUUUUUUUAAAUUUCCAACAUGAGGCAUUUGCCUCAUUUGCCUCCAUGUAGGUACGGCCCUGAUAUGUCUCCAUUAAAUGCAUUGAUCAUUUACAAAAAGGGGAGUCAAAACCCCGGAUCCCAUCCCCCUUCGAUCCGCCACUGAUUGUGAAUAUAAAUAUAAUUGUUACUUAAAAGUCAUAGACUAAUAGUAGUACUAGCUCCGAGCACCUGUUUUGGGAUAUAUACAGCUAAUUAACCGUAAAUAACUGCGAGAUAAUGAAUAACAAGUUGAUAAUUGUCUAUUCUCUGCUAAUUAAUGUACCUGCAAUUCACCCUGAUUCAUUUGUGAGACCACCGACACUAAUAAUAUUACCUCAAAGUUAGAGGUUCUCCGUUACUGGGAACUUCAUAUCGGAUCCGAUCAAUUUAUUGGUUCCAUUCCCCCUAGUAUUAAUGAUCCAUUUGCAGUGACGAUGACAAUCAAAGUUUAGGGCAAGAAAUAUAGAAGAUAAAGAAAAAUAUAAACAAUUACAACUGUACAGUAGAAAUGAUCAGCAAAACAAGAUAAACAGAAGACAACAAGGCCUAAAUGGUGAGACUUCUUGGUUUUCAUAAUCAUCAACAGGUCAAUACAGAAGAGGAAACUUAAGGUUAAUACUUUUCUACAUUGUGUGCUAAUUGGAUUAAUGUGAAAUGAAAUGUGUGCUUACCUGGAAAAAGAAAAUAGGAAAUUUCUACAAAAUGGUUGUAAACAAAAUGGAGUAAAAUCAUAGAUGCACAAGAACACAAUUGUGUAAUUGCAACAACCUACAUAUUCACUGAAGGAUUAUGGAGAAAUGUAGAAAAAAAUAGUAUUUUGUUGUCGAAAUAAACACCUGCUUUAUCCAUUCAUGUACAUAGCUCUGUCACAUCAAAUAUACAGAGGAAGAUGUUUGAAGAACAAAUUGCAAAAAUGUAUUCUCUACCAAUUGAAGGAAGAUGUCUGGUGGAUGGAAUUAUUUAUGCACUGAACUGUUAUGUAGGGGAUUGAAUAAUUGUACGCAGCAGCUUAAACAGGAGAAAAGUUAAAUUAACAUGAAAAGUGGUUAUUUUAUUUAAUCUGCAAAUAUGAGCACAAUAUUAAUAACAUCACAAAUAGUAUGAUAUUCAUAGCGUUUUGCUUAUUAUUGUAUUGUCUCAAACAGCUAGCCUAUUGUUUUUGUAUGUCAUGUUACUCAUCAGUUAACAUUUUAUUAAAGUUUUAAUUAUC